This 400-nucleotide ribosomal RNA is filed under the name uncultured bacterium. Its description in RNAcentral is "bacterial SSU rRNA". It matches the Rfam family "Bacterial small subunit ribosomal RNA", at positions 355 to 766 of the family's 1533-position model. The record is from RNAcentral.
UGAGGAAUUUUCCGCAAUGGGCGAAAGCCUGACGGAGCAAUGCCGCGUGAAGGAAGACGGCCCUCGGGUUGUAAACUUCUUUUCUCAUAGAAGAAGAAAUAUAUGACGGUAUAUGAGGAAUAAGCAUCGGCUAAUUCCGUGCCAGCAGCCGCGGUAAUACGGGAGAUGCAAGCGUUAUCCGGAAUUAUUGGGCGUAAAGAGUUUGUAGGUGGUUGAGUGUGUUUAAUGUUAAAUCUCUAAGCUUAACUUUGAAACUGCGUUAAAAACUGCUCAACUUGAGUAUGGUAGGGGCAAAGGGAAUUUCCAGUGUAGCGGUGAAAUGCGUAGAUAUUGGAAAGAACACCAAAAGCGAAGGCACUUUGCUAGGCCAAUACUGACAUUGAGAAACGAAAGCUAAGGG